GACGAACGCUGGCGGCGUGCUUAACACAUGCAAGUCGAACGGAAAGGCCCUGCUUUUGUGGGGUGCUCGAGUGGCGAACGGGGGAGUAAAACGUGAGUAGCCUGCCCUUGUCUUUGGGAUAACUUCAGGGAACUGGGGCGAAUACCGGAUAGGAGCUCCUGCUGCAUGGUGGGGGUUGGAAAGUUUCGGCGGUUGGGGAUGGACUCGCGGCUUAUCAGCUUGUUGGUGGGGUAGUGGCUUACCAAGGCAUUGACGGGUAGCCGGCCUGAGAGGGUGACCGGCCACAUUGGGACUGAGAGACGGCCCAGACUCCUACGGGAGGCAGCAGUGAGGGACAUUGCACAAUGGGCGGAAGCCGGAUGCAGCAACGCCGCGUGCGGGAUGACGGUUUUCGGGUUGUAAACCGCUUUCGCCUGUGACGAAGCGCGAGUGACGGUAAUGGGUAAAGAAGCACCGGCUAACUACGUG
Molecule: ribosomal RNA, 468 nt
Filed under: uncultured bacterium
Lineage: Bacteria
Description: partial 16S ribosomal RNA
Rfam family: Bacterial small subunit ribosomal RNA
Source: RNAcentral